Molecule: unclassified non-coding RNA, 1144 nt
Filed under: Hevea brasiliensis (rubber tree)
Lineage: Eukaryota; Viridiplantae; Streptophyta; Magnoliopsida; Malpighiales; Euphorbiaceae
Source: RNAcentral
UAUUGCUGCACAAAUUCAAUACUUUGUGUUGUGGAGAUAGCAGUCCUAUGACAGUGGAGAAGUACUUGUCCGAGUAACACUUGACUGUUUGUGAUCAGCUCGUAGACAUUUUGAUUUAAUUUCUUUGGUGAUCACCUGCUCAAGGUGAUCCUUUAAUAACUCAUUAGAUACUUGAUGACCUCCUGGUAAUUGCUUUUUUCAGUGAUUGCCAGUCUCCACUCUCCAUAGGAUAGUUUGCUGUUUGAAUCACAAGUUUUUGCUGCCUAAUCUCAUUUGCUGACUUCUUGGUGACCCUAAAGCUGAUUGAUGUGAUGUCUACAUGACAUAUUCAUGUUCCGGCUUCAUAACAGAAAACUAGCCUCUCUGAAAGAAUGACACAACAUUUCAUCUUAACUAAUUCCAAAUAAGUCACAAGUAAGACUAGGGCAAACAAUAUGCUUUUGUUCUGCAUAUACGAAUUUGAAUGUGAAGAGAUGAUCGUGCUUUAUGCCAGUCUUGAAUCAUACCUCCCUGUUAGUCCGGCCCUCAAAGCACAAUGUUAUCAAUUUAUUAUAGCUCUUCCUUGCUGGUUCAUUGUUAUUUUCACUCAUGAAGUGGCAUAUAUUUUUAGCAGCAAGUACAGUUUUCAUAAGCCUUGUAGAGUUGUUAUCAGCACCUAUAUUCUCCUAUAAGAUUGAAAUAAUCCUUAAUAUCCCUGCUGGCUUUGUUGCUGUCAAAAUUUUAGUUAAUACUUAUAGCAUUUCAUCCUGAAAAGUAGUAGUUGGAUAUAGCUGUAUUUAGUAAUUAUGAGAAAGAAAUAAGAAAAUAAUUUUGAAAUUUAUGAUUCCAUGCAUUUUAGAAGUUUCUCUGUUGCCAUUUUUUCUUCAAGGAUGCUCCAAAUUUCCAAGUGUGCUUUUGGCUUGGCAAAAUACUGAAAAUCGAAACAGUCAAGAUUAGUUUCUCAAAUUGUGCUUUAUCCAUAACUCAAAUGCUCGAGUAAGAAAUUUGGAACUAGAUAUUAUUUCCAGGAUGUGUUUUACUGUUGAAUUUUCUUGCUAAACUUUCCACAAAAAGAGAAAAAGUGUUUAACAUUGUACUUACUGAUAUAUCUUUAUCCGUGAAUCAUGAUGAAUUAUUGGCAGAGAUUAUUAUUUCCAUUGCUGAG